GACGAACGCUGGCGGCGUGCCUAAUACAUGCAAGUCGAACGGAGUGGCGAACGGGUGAGUAAUGUAUCGGAACGUGCCCAGUAGCGGGGGAUAACUACGCGAAAGCGUAGCUAAUACCGCAUACUCUUGGAGCGGCCGAUAGCGGAUUAGCUAGUUGGUGGGGUAAAGGAUCACCAAGGCGAAGAUCCGUAGCCGGUUUGAGAGGACGACCAGCCACACUGGGACUGAGACACGGCCCAGACUCCUACGGGAGGCAGCAGUGGGGAAUUUUGGACAAUGGGGGAAACCCUGAUCCAGCCAUGCCGCGUGUGCGAUGAAGGCCUUCGGGUUGUAAAGCACUUUUGGCAGGAAAGCGGUACCUGCAGAAUAAGCACCGGCUAACUACGUGCCAGCAGCCGCGGUAAUAC
This 407-nucleotide ribosomal RNA is filed under the name uncultured bacterium. RNAcentral describes it as "partial 16S ribosomal RNA". It matches the Rfam family "Bacterial small subunit ribosomal RNA", at positions 28 to 526 of the family's 1533-position model. The record is from RNAcentral.